Molecule: long non-coding RNA, 2516 nt
Organism: Lutra lutra (Eurasian river otter)
Lineage: Eukaryota; Metazoa; Chordata; Mammalia; Carnivora; Mustelidae
Exons: 2
Source: RefSeq, a predicted model, not a curated record
CCUCCUCUCUCUCUGCCUGCCUCUCUGCAUAUUUGUGAUCUCUGUCAAGUAAAUAAAUAAAAUCUUUAAAAAAAAAGAAAAGAAAAGAAAUCUGCAAAGAUGGUGUUUCUUAGGAAGGUCACAUUCAUAGGUUCUUGGUGGACAUGGAUUUGGGGAGACACUGUUCAAACCAGUGCGUGUGGUAACCAGCCAUGCCCACCCCUGAAAGGAGACCUCUCUGUGUCAGGGUGCUAUGUGAGGACUGAUGCAUGGUUCAAAAAUGACUCCUUUACAGUGACUCUGUUUAGCUGCAAAUGUGGUCCUCAGGGUGGCCUGUGGAAGCCCGGUCACCAGGGGCCUCCUUCACAGGCUCUACCUCCAAAACAAUCUUCAUCUGUGCAUCUUCCUGUCUCUCCCAGUGCUUUAGUCCAGUCCAGGGUGGAACCUCAGUCUGGGAACAGUGCUUCCUAACUAGCUCUCUGCUUCCUCUCUUCCCCAUAUCCAACCCGUUUUCUAUCUAUCAGCCUUAGACAGUCUCUUAAAUGGAAGUUGGAGUAGAUCUCUCCUCUUCAAUGAUUUUUCUAGAAUUGUGCUGUCCAAUAUGCUAGCUACUAGCCACAUAUGGCUAUUUAAAUUUAAAUUAGUUUAAAAUAAAGAAAAUUUAAAAUACGAUACCUCAGUGGCACUAGCCGUGUUCCAAGCGCUCAUGGGCCAUGUUUGGCUAAUGACUCCCACAUUGGGCCGCCUGGAUACAGAGCAUUUUCCAAUCCAGUUGGUCUGGGCUGAUCUAGAAGACGCAGCAGCCGCUCCCUCAAAAGAGCAUGUGAAGGGCGUCCAGGUGGUACAGUCAGCUGAUGUCCGAAUCUUGGUUUCAGCUCAGAUGAUGAUCUUGGGGGUCGGGAGCUCGAGACCCGCGUCAGACCGCGCUCAGUGGGGAGUCUGCUUGAGAUUCUCUCCCCCGCCCUCUGCCCUUCCCCCCACCCAUCCCUGCUCACAAGUGCUCUCUCUCUUAAAUAAAUAGAUAAAUAACCCUUUGGGAAAAAAAACAAGAAGUGAUGCCCAGAGCGCCUGACUAAGCAAACAUUAUUGUUCUCCAAGACCUUUUGGCUUUGAAGCAGUACGCCAGGAUUAAUUUUUGGAGCUUUUUUUUUUUUUUAAGUAUUUUUCUCCUUUUUCUUCUCCCCGUUCAAGUAGGCUCUACGCUCCUUGCCUCACACAAGGCUGGUAGCAGCACUUCCUGACUUCUGUUCCUGUUUUCAGUGGAAACAGAGUUUGAAGGCCAGGGGAAGCCUACGUCCGAUGUGGAGAAGGCUUGAGGAGAAAUAAAUUUGCCUCAAACUAAAGAACACCUUCCAAAGUUGGGAGACGAGAGAGGUCUUCGUGCUCCACACAUCGCCAUGUGUGCCAGAGGAGAAGGUGUAGGGGACAGGAGGAGACUGCAUCCCAGGCACAGCCCUCUGACCUUGAUCUCAGGCACGUCCCAGACAAAGCAGAGAAGCCAACCAAGAAAGUGCCUGGGGCCGGGAGAGGAGACCUCUGUGUUGUGGAGAGGUGCCCAGGGGUCCACACCCACCGCCCCGUCUUCGGACCACCUCUCGGCAUCGCCAGCCGCCUGCGAUCCCUGCGCCCCGGGAUCCAUCCCCUCUCUGCCGUAGAGACUCCGUGUGGGGAGACCCCAAAGCAAACUGCCUGCUUGGACAAGAUAACCUGAAAAGUCUCUGGAAAAUCACGUUGUCAUAAGCUGCUGCUUGGGACGCUAAGGGCUUGUCAGCUACCCUCUUAUUCACAUCGAAGGGACCUGAGCCCAGAAAGGGGAAGGCCCUCGCUCCCAUGAUCACUGAGUGGACGACCAAGAUCUUGAACCAAAUCUCAGCCUAGGGGACUGAACUGGACCACUUAGGCAGCUUAGAUGACUUCCCUAAUGUUUUAUGUUCCAAACUGUAAAAUGGAAAUCCUGCUCGAAAGCUUACCGUACGGAAGAAGGUAUACAAUGUGUGCAAGCCCCAGGAGAGAACUUGGUAUACAGUAAGCCAUUAGGGUAAGCCCGGUUUCCGGGCUCCUCCCGUCUCAUAAAGUCAAACCAACCGCUAAAGAGCCGGUCCAAAAGUAAAGUCGAAAACCUCUGAAGUCCCCCUUUUCUCAAAUUACAGCAAGUCCCUCAGGCAGAGGUGAAGUACCCUGACCCGAGUGGUGAGAGGUUGGGCAUCGCGGCCCCUGCCGCAUCUGGCUGUGCAGCGAGCAGAAAAUACGGAGCCUGUUCAAGCACUUUGGCUUCCGCUCCAAGAUGAUCUGCAUGACAUUUGGGUCAAUCAAUUUAGAGAUAAUGAUUCUUGCCGCAGAGCUGUGCGUGUCCAAUCACAAGAAAUAGGGGUCCCCAAUUGAUUUUUGUGGACUGGUUUCAUUUUCUCAGAAAGCUUUUCAGGUCAAACAUUGGCCAGAGCUAGGGUGCUGAUAGGAGGUGGCAUAUUUCCAUCUACUUUUGCCCAGAAAUGUCUGGCUAUCAUUGUGCUCUGUUGAAUAAAAUUGAAAUCAUCAAA